GUUGAACGCUGGCGGCAUGCUUUACACAUGCAAGUCGAACGGCAGCGCGGGGGCAACCCUGGCGGCGAGUGGCGAACGGGUGAGUAAUAUAUCGGAACGUACCCAGAAGUGGGGGAUAACGUAGCGAAAGUUACGCUAAUACCGCAUACGAUCUACGGAUGAAAGUGGGGACCUUCGGGCCUCAUGCUUUUGGAGCGGCCGAUAUCUGAUUAGCUAGUUGGUGAGGUAAAGGCUCACCAAGGCGACGAUCAGUAGCUGGUCUGAGAGGACGACCAGCCACACUGGAACUGAGACACGGUCCAGACUCCUACGGGAGGCAGCAGUGGGGAAUUUUGGACAAUGGGGGCAACCCUGAUCCAGCAAUGCCG
Molecule: ribosomal RNA, 368 nt
Filed under: uncultured bacterium
Lineage: Bacteria
Description: bacterial SSU rRNA
Rfam family: Bacterial small subunit ribosomal RNA
Source: RNAcentral